CUUUUUGAUGAUGACAAAACAUUGAGUAUAUGUAAAGUGAAUUGCACAACAAACAAGGAAAUUUAUGAUAAAAUUUUGAAAUGAAUUCUAGUGUCUGGUUAUUUAAUUUAUCCAAACUUGAAAGGUGUGAAACAAUAAAUUUCGAAGUUAGAGCUCCCCCUUUCAUUUGGAAUUAUAUAAGCCUUCAUGUCAUGCAAUCAAUUGUUUGGCUUAUAUGUCUUU
RNAcentral lists this long non-coding RNA (222 nucleotides) under Phoenix dactylifera (date palm). Its description in RNAcentral is "long non-coding RNA (PDAC_LNC010053)". Lineage: Eukaryota; Viridiplantae; Streptophyta; Magnoliopsida; Arecales; Arecaceae. The record is from RNAcentral.